CCUACGGGCGGCAGCAGUCGAGAAUCAUUCACAAUGGGGGAAACCCUGAUGGUGCGACGCCGCGUGGGGGAAUGAAGGUCUUCGGAUUGUAAACCCCUGUCAUGUGGGAGCAAAUUAAAAAGAUAGUACCACAAGAGGAAGAGACGGCUAACUCUGUGCCAGCAGCCGCGGUAAUACAGAGGUCUCAAGCGUUGUUCGGAAUCACUGGGCGUAAAGCGUGCGUAGGCUGUUUCGUAAGUCGUGUGUGAAAGGCGCGGGCUCAACCCGCGGACGGCACAUGAUACUGCGAGACUAGAGUGAUGGAGGGGGAACCGGAAUGCUCGGUGUAGCAGUGAAAUGCGUAGAUAUCGAGAGGAACACUCGUGGCGAAGGCGGGUUCCUGGACAUUAACUGACGCUGAGGCACGAAGGCCAGGGGAGCGAAAGGGAUUAGAUACCCUAGUAGUC
This 446-nucleotide ribosomal RNA is filed under the name uncultured bacterium. RNAcentral's name for it is "partial 16S ribosomal RNA". It matches the Rfam family "Bacterial small subunit ribosomal RNA", at positions 338 to 795 of the family's 1533-position model. The record is from RNAcentral.